Molecule: long non-coding RNA, 1912 nt
Filed under: Equus asinus (donkey)
Lineage: Eukaryota; Metazoa; Chordata; Mammalia; Perissodactyla; Equidae
Description: lncRNA (ENSEASG00005036603.1)
Source: RNAcentral
CCUUCAGCAAUGGGGAUUGUUCUGUCACAUCGUGCUGCUUAAGUCUGGGAGCCAGGGUGGGAGGUACUGGGUUACAAGAAGGGAACAGGUGUGAGGGGUGACAACAUACUCAUUCAGCUUUGGACUCGUGCCUGUGGGGGUCCUGUAGGAGAUCUUGCGGACCUGUGCAGUGGGCCGUCGGAAAGGCAAGCCUGACCCUUUCAAGAGAGGUCAGGCCUGGAGACCAAGGGUGAGGCCCCUCCAUAAAGAGAAGGUGGUUGAAGCCCAUGGAUUAGAUGCUUGUGAAGAGCACAGAGUGGGAAGAGAAAGGACCAGUGACAGAACCAUGAGAAGCACAAUAGAGGGCGGGGAGAGGCAGACCUGACAUGGGGCAGACUCAAAUCCCGCCCUCAUGGACCUUACAGAGCUGCCACAAGCAUUCGUAAUUCUUAUCUAAGUAGACAGGGUCAAGUUACUAAGAGAGGACCAAGGACCUCAUUUCCAGGAGUGAGGCCAGGAAGACUCCAUGAAGGAGGGUGUUUUAACCAGGCUUUGGACCAAGCGCGGGAUGAGGACUGGCAAAAGAUGGUUAGACACACAAAGGCAAGGAGGCUUCAGGAUGUCUGGGAAACUGUGAGAAGUUGGUUAAUAUCUGGUCAGAGGUACUCACAGAAUAAUGCAGAAUUGGAUUAGAAUUCAAAAGCGUUUAAAAAAAUGUGUGAGCCACAGAAUGAAGUUUAGGGAGACUCAAAACUGUGUACUAUUGCUGCAGACACUGAGGCAGAUUAGUGUGCAGGACGACUCUUUCGGAGAGGUGCUGAAGGAAACGCCUGGAGAAGGGGAGAGAAGGAAGCAGGAUUAGGCGUGGGAGAGGUUGGGAGGUGCUGAGGUCUCACUAGUGGCCUCAGGUGACCUCAUGGGGAGCUCGGGAGCUUGGUCAGCCCUGCAGAGCAGUUCCGCACUGGGAAGUCUAGUGGGUUGAAUAGUGGCCCCCAAAAUAUAUGUCCAAGUCCUAACCCUCGGUACCUGUGACUGUGACUUUAUUUGCAUGUAAUUAAGUUAAGCAUCCUGGGGUGUGAUCAGCCUGUGUUUAGGGUGAGCCAAAUCUAAUGACCAGCAUCUUCAUGGGAGAAAGGAGAGGGAGAUUCCACACUCAGACACACAUGGGAGUGGGCCGUGUGAAGACAGGAGCAGAGACUGGGGUGACGCCUCUACAAGCCGAGGCAGCCAAGGAUUGCCUCAGCCACCAGAAACCAGGAGAGGGGCACGGAACAGGCUCUUCCUCAGAGGCUCCAGAAGGAACCAGCCUGCUGAUUUCAGGCUUCCACCUCCAGAAUGGCGAAAGAAUACAUUCUAUUGUUUUUCAGCUGCCCAGUUUGUGGUAAUCUGUUUUGGCAGCCUUAGGAAAUGAAUACAGGAGGCCAGGCCUUUUUACCCAGUACGAUCUGUCGUUGGAUGUGGGCUGCCCCGGAAGGAAGCACGAUCCUGGGCACUGAAAGAGAACACAGGGCUGAUUCCUUGACCUUUUGCAGUUCAUAGUCUAAUGAGGAAUACGAAUAAUUACAAAGGAAAGACUCUUUUACAGCCCUCAGCACUGUUAUUGCGUGAACUGGCUCAGCAUGGCCGGCCCAGUGAAGGACGCCAGUGGUAGUAACCGGGGAAGAGGGAUCCCCUGGCUCUUCUUACCAAACUUCUCCGAUCGUUUGGAGUGGUUUGGCCAUCAGUUAGUCAGGAAGAGGCCAGAAGGACACGUGCUGAUAAUGCUUCAAGAAAGUUAAACUUUAGGAAAAACUCGACCGAAGUAAAAAUAGCUAUGUAGUCAGUGACCAAAGCUACUUGGAUGGUCCUGUUGAUUGCUCUUGUGCAUUUUAUCACACGAAUACAGGCUUUCCCCUAAAAGUUGAAAAUAAAGAAGGGAAAUGUGAUGAAUGGC